ACCUUUUUGUCAUUUCUUGUGUAUAAAGAUUCUUUUGUUUGGUAGUCUUACAGCAUGGCAGAUUCAUUCAUUUAAUCAACAUGUAACAAGCACCUGCCAAUGCCAGAGAAUAUUCUAAGUGCUGCUUCAGUGACAACCAUAUCCUAUGUCACUUAAGGGCAGGGAAAGGAGAACCCAUCCCUCCAUCCCCUUCACGUUAUUCAAUAAUGGCGCAUGGGAACUCAUUCUAGAGAACUGGCAGUUACUGAACAGAAACUGCCAUCUUCCAUUAUGGAUUCUCUUCUCAGGGCUAUUGCUGGUUCUCCCUUUAGUUGAAAUAAGAAUUGUUCUUUGGGCUAUGCCACUUUAUCUGACCCUUUAAAGGGUUGGGAGCUGAGCUGUCACUUGCCUAAUGAAGUCCCUUUGUCUUAUAGAUCCCACGUGUGGAUGGCGAGUAUGAUCUGAAAGUACCCCGAGACAUGGCUUACGUCUUCAGUGGUGCUUAUGUGCCCCUGAGCUGCCGAAUCAUUGAGCAGGUGCUAGAGCGGCGAAGCUGGCAGGGCCUUGAUGAGGUGGUACGGCUGCUCAACUGCAGUGACUUUGCAUUCACAGAUAUGACUAAGGAAGACAAGGCUUCUAGUGAGUCCCUGCGCCUCAUCUUGGUGGUGUUCUUGGGUGGUUGUACAUUCUCUGAGAUCUCAGCCCUCCGGUUCCUGGGCAGAGAGAAAGGUAAGAGAGAGCAGAAAGGUGAGAAUUGGCCUGCAUUGUAUCUGGGUAACAAAGUGUCAGCUGGGCGCAGUGGUUCACGCCUGUAAUCUCAGCACUUCGGGAGGCGGCGGCAAGCAGAUCACCUGAGGUCAGGAGUUCGAGACUAGCCUGACCAACAUGGUGAAACCCCAUCUCUACAAAAAAUACAAAAAUUAGCCAGGCAUGGUGGCAGGUGCCUGUAAUGCUAACUACUCGGGAAGCUGAGGCAGGAGAAUUGCUUGAACCCAGGAGGUGGAGGUUGCAGUGAGCUGAGAUUGCGCCAUUGCACUCCAGCCUGGGCAACAAUAGCAAAACUCCAUCUCAAGAA
Molecule: small RNA, 1054 nt
Filed under: Pongo abelii (Sumatran orangutan)
Lineage: Eukaryota; Metazoa; Chordata; Mammalia; Primates; Hominidae
Description: retained intron
Source: RNAcentral